Molecule: ribosomal RNA, 896 nt
Filed under: uncultured Enterobacteriaceae bacterium
Lineage: Bacteria; Pseudomonadati; Pseudomonadota; Gammaproteobacteria; Enterobacterales; Enterobacteriaceae
Description: bacterial SSU rRNA
Rfam family: Bacterial small subunit ribosomal RNA (bases 1-795)
Source: RNAcentral
GAUGAACACUGACAGAAUGCUUAACACAUGCAAGUCAACUUGAACUUCGGUUUGGGUGGCGGACGGGUGAGUAACACGUAAAGAGCUUGCCUCACAGAUAGGGACAACAUUUGGAAACGAAUGCUAAUACCUGAUAUUAUGAUUUUAGGGCAUCCUAGGAUUAUGAAAGCUAUAUGCGCUGUGAGAGAGCUUUUCGUCCCAUUAGCUAGUUGGAGAGAGAACGGCUCUCCAAGGCGAUGAUGGGUAGCCGGCCUGAGAGAGUGAUCUCGGCCAAGAGGGCUGAGACACGGCCCUUACUCUCACGGGGGGGAGCAGUGGGGGAUAUUGGGCAAUGGGCCACGAGACUGAUCCCGCAAUUCUGUGUGCACGAUGAAGUUUUUCGGAAUGUGAAGUGCUUUCAGUUGGGGAACGAAAAAAGACGGGACCCACAGAGGAAAUGACGGCUAAAUACAUGCGACCAGCGCCGCUAAUACGUAUGUCACAAGCGUUAUCCCGGUUUAUUGGGCGUAAAGCGCGCCCAGGGGGUAUAUAAGUCUGAUGUGAAAAUGGGGGCUCAACUCUCUAUUGCGUUGGGAACUGUGUAACUGAGGACUGGGGAGGGAUGGGGACUACCAAGUAAAGGGAAAAUCCCAAAAUUUUAGGGAUGCCCAGGGGAAACCGCGUAUUGGAACAUACUGAGCUGAAGGCGAAAACUUGUAGACAAACAGAUAGGACCCAUAGGCCAGGGGCGAUUCCCACUGGGGUGCGGCCGGGGACCCUUAUUUUAGAGGGUCGCUCGGGGAGUCCAUUUGCCUUUGCGGCGUAUAGGCGGGGCUGGCAUUAUUUAACGUCGGAUGGGAAACCCUGCGUUCCUAUUUAUGCGUGCGCACUCCCUUUUCGCAGUGGUUAUACUAUAC